Molecule: regulatory RNA element, 176 nt
Rfam family: Lysine riboswitch aptamer
About the family: Riboswitches are metabolite binding domains within certain messenger RNAs that serve as precision sensors for their corresponding targets. Allosteric rearrangement of mRNA structure is mediated by ligand binding, and this results in modulation of gene expression. This family includes riboswitches that sense lysine in a number of genes involved in lysine metabolism, including lysC.
Source: Rfam
CGAUGAGGUAGAGGCGCGGUCUUGAUUAGUAUUUGGUCUGAGGAUGACAACAAAGACGAUCGAAGAAAGGUGAGACCGCCGAAGCAUCGUCAUGUGUCAGACAUGACGAUGCUGGUCGAACCGGGAAAGACCCGUUCGAUUGCCAUACGCGUAUUGUAUGGAGCACUCCAAUUCGG